CGAGUUUGAUCCUGGCUCAGAACGAACGCUGGCGGCAUGCCUAACACAUGCAAGUCGAACGAGACCUUCGGGUCUAGUGGCGCACGGGUGCGUAACGCGUGGGAAUCUGCCCUUCGGUUCGGAACAACAGUUAGAAAUGACUGCUAAUACCGGAUGAUGACUUCGGUCCAAAGAUUUAUCGCCGAGGGAUGAGCCCGCGUAGGAUUAGCUAGUUGGUGGGGUAAAGGCCUACCAAGGCGACGAUCCUUAGCUGGUCUGAGAGGAUGAUCAGCCACACUGGGACUGAGACACGGCCCAGACUCCUACGGGAGGCAGCAGUGGGGAAUAUUGGACAAUGGGCGAAAGCCUGAUCCAGCAAUGCCGCGUGAGUGAUGAAGGCCUUAGGGUUGUAAAGCUCUUUUACCAGGGAUGAUAAUGACAGUACCUGGAGAAUAAGCUCCGGCUAACUCCGUG
RNAcentral lists this ribosomal RNA (453 nucleotides) under uncultured bacterium. Its description in RNAcentral is "bacterial SSU rRNA". It matches the Rfam family "Bacterial small subunit ribosomal RNA", at positions 9 to 507 of the family's 1533-position model. The record is from RNAcentral.